UCCCAGUAGUAAGGGGUUUGGAGAGCUCCCAGGUGGGUGAAGGCGUCCACGUACCAGGAAGGUGACACACCCCAACUUCAUGGACAGAAGCUCCUAAGCUCAGGAUCCUCCCAGACAUCGCCCUGUGGAUCUCAUCUGGCUGUUCAUCUGUAUCCUUUACUGUACCCUUUAAUAAUCUGGUAAAUAUCUACAAGCCACAUGGAAUCUAUUUUUCUUUAUGGUAUGAGAUAGAAGCGAAGAUUUAUUUUUUGACCAGAUGGACAUCUAAUUGGCCCAGAAUCACUUGAUGAAAAGACCAUCCUUUCACCGUUGCACUUCAGUAUUCUUUUUAUCAUAACCAAGGAGCUGUCUGUGUGUGAGUCUUAGAGGACAAGUUUUUAAAAAAUCAAUUAAAAUUCACAAAGUCAUGUAGCCAGAGGAUGUGCAGAAGAAGAAAUCUUGACCUGAAAUGACCAUGAAUCCAAAGGUUCUAUGGCCGAGAUUUCCCUGCGAUAAAAGACAGAUUAACAAGAGAAAAACAAACGGAAAUUUAUUAACAUGCAUGCCUCAUUUAUACGUGGGAGAUGCUCGGGAAACCUGACUAAAACUCUCCAAAAUGGCCCAAGCUACCUCCUUGAACACCAUCUUCAGGGAGGACAAAAGAAAGAUGUUGAGGGUAGGAGAAGUAAGGAGGCCAGCUACGGAAAGUCAUCAGGAAAAACGCGGUGAGCGAGGGUGAGGUUGUUAGGCAGAUUUAAGUCUGUUCUUUCUCCAUUGAUAAGCGUUUCUUGUGGUUUGGAGUCAUCCUUCUCUUCCUGGCACAGAGAAGGAGACUCCUAAAAAUGGAGGUUUCCUUUACAAAACAGUAAAUUCUGCUCUGUAGAGCUUCUCUUGUGUCUGCUGUUUCUUAAAAAAUAAACAGCUCAGAAUAAUUCUUAUGCCAAAGAGACAUAUUUUGAGCUGGUAAGUCCUGCUCCCCUCCAGUCCUGCCUUUGAAACUUCUGUAAGAAUUUUCAGUCCAGAAGAUGAGUUGGUGGAUUUCUCCAGCUCAUUGAACCCGUUCCUUAGUCCUGAGAAUAGCUCAGUUCAGUUAACGAGUUGUGUCUCAUUUCAGGAGCUGGUGAUGCAGGCAGGCUCCCAAAGUUACACCUAUAUGAUUCGAGAAAUCAGGUAUUUAACAAAAGGCAUUUCUAUGGAAACAAAAGAAAAACGAAUGUUAAUGUUUGGAGCAGACUAUAAACCCAAUUUCUGAGUCCUGAGGGCGGCCAGUGAUUUAUAGAUGUUGGGCUCGAAGCACGUUUUGGAGUUUGAUUGUCUCUGGUGAUGUCAUCAGGUGCUCCGGUAAACUUUCUGAGUGCCUCAGCAACAAGCAUGCAGGUUGUCCAUACAUGAGCUGUUGCAGUGAUUUCUCUGAAGUUCCUAUCAAGUCGUCCAGCUUCAUUUUGCAGGGAAAAGGGCAGUGUUUGUUCUUAGUGACAAAGUCGGAAGGGUGGAAGAGAAUUGGAACUGUGAGCUUGGAGUGUCAUAGGCAGAUACUUGAGGGAACUAGAAAAAUUCAGGAUACAGUCCAGUUUGCAGGUAAAGAAUGAAACCUCAAAGACAAUUACCAGGACUAGAAUCUAGUAUUCACCAAAGAUGUGCUAGUGAACAUAAUUUUUCUCACAGACUGCUUAUUGGCAACAAGAGAAAAAAAAUGCCUAACUAUAAUGUGAACAACCUAGACCAACACCUUGACCAGGAGAUCAAAAUUAACUUCACAAAUGAGGAACAGAUGGCAUACACAUUGUGUGCCUCCAGAUGUGGUCGCCUGAGGACACAACAUCACUAAUGUACUAUUCUAGCUAGGAUGCAUAAUCUGAAACUAACCAUGAGGAAAUGUUAGACAAACUCAAAAUAAGGAAUAUUCAAGUUUUGAAAUGGAGGGCCAACUUGCUUCAACUAUACUCAGCUGUUUGUUUGCAAAAGUAGUUAGAUAAUGCAUUACUAAAACCCACCCUGUAGACAACAUCUCUGAGGCUUGGGUCACCAUGGUGACGAGUGGACUCCUUGGGUAUCAGGGGUAAAUAUGAUAGGAAAAUGGUUCAGAAAAAUAUGCAUAUUCUCUUUCUGAGUUUAAAACUCUCUCUCUAUUUAUCUAGAGAGACAGAGAUACAUGAAGGGAAUAAUGACCCACCAGAAUUGCAUAAAGAUUACUUU
Molecule: long non-coding RNA, 2175 nt
Organism: Equus caballus (horse)
Lineage: Eukaryota; Metazoa; Chordata; Mammalia; Perissodactyla; Equidae
Source: Ensembl